This 439-nucleotide small nucleolar RNA is filed under the name Cervus hanglu yarkandensis (Yarkand deer). RNAcentral's name for it is "Small Cajal body-specific RNA 2 (ENSCHYG00000003951.1)". It matches the Rfam family "Small Cajal body-specific RNA 2". The record is from Rfam by way of RNAcentral. Lineage: Eukaryota; Metazoa; Chordata; Mammalia; Artiodactyla; Cervidae.
GGUUACCGGAGGGAGAGCGGGCUGGAAGUUAGGUUACUGUGAAUUGCUGUGUGGUGUUGUGUGUGGUGUGUGUGGGGGGUGGGGGGCGGCGCGUGUAGGCCGAGUGUGUGAGUGGACGCGUGAAUGUGUGAAUGGAUGAGUUAAUGUGUGAGUGCGUGUGCCUGCCCCUGCGCCCCCUCCCCCGGCCUACAUGUUGAUCUUAUUUGAUCGGGUUGUGACUCCAGCCCCGCCGGGCCGACCCAAAAUGAAAAGCUUCCCUCCUGCGAAGCCCUUCCUCGGGGCGCUGUGCAGCGAGGCCCCUUGGGCGGUGGCAACGCCGUGGCCCCGGAGGUUCCGGAGCCGGUCCUAUGGUGCCUGGCGCUCAAAAGUGAUGAAUUGAUCAGAUAGACGAGGCCGGUCUUGUCCCGCGCCAUUGAUUAUCGAGGCGAUUCUGAUCUGA